RNAcentral lists this ribosomal RNA (454 nucleotides) under Clostridioides difficile. RNAcentral's name for it is "bacterial LSU rRNA". It matches the Rfam family "Bacterial large subunit ribosomal RNA", at positions 878 to 1340 of the family's 2925-position model. Lineage: Bacteria; Bacillati; Bacillota; Clostridia; Peptostreptococcales; Peptostreptococcaceae. The record is from RNAcentral.
AGCCUCAAGGUGAGAGAUACGGAGGUAGAGCACUGAAUGUCCUAGGGGGUAUUGCACCUACUGAAGACUAUCAAACUCCGAAUUCCGUCCUCUUAUACUUGGGAGUCAGACUGUGGGUGAUAAGAUUCUUAGUCGAAAGGGCAACAGCCCAGAUCGUCUGCUAAGUUCCCUAACUGUAAGUUAAGUGGUAAAGGAUGUGGGAUUGCACAGACAACCAGGAUGUUGGCUUAUAAGCAGCCACUCAUUCAAAGAGUGCGUAAUAGCUCACUGGUCGAGUGAUCCUGCGCCGAAGAUUUCCGGGGCUAAAACUUACUACCGUAGCUACGGCAUCAGUACCGAUGGGUAGGGGAGCUUCCCAUCCGGGUUGAAGCAUGACCGUAAGGACAUGUGGACAGUACGGGAGUGAGAAUGUGGGCAUGUGUAGCGAGAUGGGGGGGAGAGUCCCACAGGCCGU